Anolis carolinensis (green anole) is the source of this 1210-nucleotide long non-coding RNA. RefSeq lists it as uncharacterized. NCBI's taxonomy places the organism in Eukaryota, Metazoa, Chordata, Lepidosauria, Squamata, Anolidae. The record is from RefSeq and is a predicted model, not a curated record. The transcript is spliced from 2 exons.
AUAGCCUAAAAUUAACAAGAACAAGGAAAAUAUAUAACAGCUUGUAUAAUGACAGGUAUCUCAAAUUUACUGUAUAAAAUAUUCCAUUCAUUUAACAGUCUCUUGAUAUAACAUUACUUCUCAAACUUACAUUUAUCAAAUAUCACAUAAGACACGAGCUUUGGAAGUGUUUAUAUGGAAACUAGAUCCCUCGGUAAAUAAUUUCCAAAUUAGACAAAAGAAGUCUGUGUUGCUCAUUUAAAUUUUCCAUGCAACAAGUCAGACAUUUUUAUUGCUCACUACUUGCAACUGUAUUAACACAUUAGAUUGCCAAUUACUGAUUCUGCAAGCCUACUUGCUUGCUUGCCAGCCCACUCACUUCAAUCCUAACUUUCUCCUGUCAUCAAAGAAAAAAACCUAACCUUACCUUUCUCUCUCUCUCUCUCUCUUUUGUUUUUUUUACCUUAAACAGCCCUGCCAGACAUAUACCUCAGCUCGAAAGCUGAAGAGACCUAAAACCAGCCUGAAGUGCCUCCUUGAUGUCCUGGUACAAUUGUCAACAGGGCAAUGUUACUCAUGUAAUUUGCUUCAGUUUGUUUGCAAUCCUGUAAGUGUUUCAAGGAGAUGCCUCAUUGUACUUUCAAGUCUCUUCAGGCCUUGAGCCAGAGAAGCAUAUGUGUUCCAGCAUAGCUGCUUAUGGCUCCCGGAAAGAAAAGUGGCAAAGAGGAACAACUUUUUGCAGCAGCCAGGCAAUGGGUAAGUGUUCUGUUGGCGGGAAAACGAGACCCGAUAUAGAUGCUGGUCGCAAGGGGAACUUUGCGGAGUCAACUGAUCAGCUUGAGGAGAGAGAUCGUGUGUGGACUUCGUACCCCAGUUCCUUGCUUUCCGGAUCAAGUUUCAAGCCUGCCUUGUUUCACGUUUUGCCACGGACCUUGUUCAUGCUUCAUGUUUGCCUCGUUUCAAGUCUUUGAUCUAGCCAAGAAUCAAGUUUAUUUUCCAGCCUUGUUGUCAAGCUACAUUGGACUUUAAAGACUCUGUCAUUUCCCCACACUUUGCUUGGCAAAGUGUGUGUUUCGGUCAAGUGGAUUAAAACUUUGAACUCUAAUAUCUUAUAUUGGACAAUACAUUUCUGGACUAUAUUUGACCUCAUCUGAAAGGUCUGCUUCUGAACUAUAUUCUUCACUUGUUUUUAUUGACUUUAUAUAUUUCUAUAAUAAAGAUAUUAGAUAGA